UGCCGAAUGGUGUAAUUGGUAGCACGCCAGAUUCUGAUUCUGGAAGUCGGGGUUCAAGUCCCUGUUCGGCAACCA
Molecule: transfer RNA, 75 nt
Filed under: Planctomycetota bacterium
Lineage: Bacteria; Pseudomonadati; Planctomycetota
Also listed under: 1 other name
Description: Planctomycetes bacterium tRNA-Gln
Rfam family: tRNA
About the family: Transfer RNA (tRNA) molecules are approximately 80 nucleotides in length.
Source: RNAcentral